RNAcentral lists this ribosomal RNA (407 nucleotides) under uncultured bacterium. RNAcentral's name for it is "bacterial SSU rRNA". It matches the Rfam family "Bacterial small subunit ribosomal RNA", at positions 116 to 518 of the family's 1533-position model. The record is from RNAcentral.
CGUAUGCAACCUACCUAUCAGAGGGGAAGUAACCCGGACGAAAGUACGGACUAAUACCGCAUAAACAGGGCACCGCAUGGUGAUAUUUGUUAAAGAAAUUCGCUGAUAGAUGGGCAUGCGUUCCAUUGGGUAGUUGGUGAGGUAACGGCUCACCAAGCCGACGAUGGAUAGGGAACUGAGAGGUUGGUCCCCCACACUGGUACUGAGACACGGACCAGACUCCUACGGGAGGCAGCAGUGAGGAAUAUUGGUCAAUGGGCGGGAGCCUGAACCAGCCAAGUCGCGUGAAAAGGAAGAAGGAUCUAUGGUUCGUAAACUUCUUUUGCAGGGGAAUAAAGUGCAGGACGUGUCCUGUUUUUGUAUGUACCCUGAGAAUAAGGAUCGGCUAACUCCGUGCCAGCAGCCGC